This 510-nucleotide ribosomal RNA is filed under the name uncultured bacterium. Its description in RNAcentral is "bacterial SSU rRNA". It matches the Rfam family "Bacterial small subunit ribosomal RNA", at positions 28 to 527 of the family's 1533-position model. The record is from RNAcentral.
GACGAACGCUGGCGGCGUGGAUUAGGCAUGCAAGUCGAACGGUAUCAUCCUUUCGGGGGUGAGAGAGUGGCGAACUGGUGAGUAACACGUAGGUUAUCUACCCUCAAGACGGGGACAACCCAGGGAAACUUGGGCUAAUACCGGAUGUGAGCAACUUUUAGUUGUUUGAAAGGUGGCGUAAGCUGUCGCUUGGGGAUGAGCCUGCGUCCUAUUAGUUAGUUGGUGAGGUAACGGCUCACCUAGGCAAUGAUAGGUAGGCGGCCUUAACGGGUGGUCGCCCACACUGGGAUUGAGAUACGGCCCAGACUCCUACGGGAGGCAGCAGUCGAGAAUAGUCUACAAUGGUCGGAAGACUGAUAGUGCGACGCCGCGUGAACGAUGAAUCCCUUCGGGGUGUAAAGUUCUUUUCUAUACGAGCAGUGCUAUAUAUAUGGAUAGUAUAUAUAGAGGGAUAGUAGUAUAGGAAUAAGCAACGGCUAACUCCGUGCCAGCAGCCGCGGUAAAAUCACG